Styela clava is the source of this 472-nucleotide long non-coding RNA. RefSeq lists it as uncharacterized. Lineage: Eukaryota; Metazoa; Chordata; Ascidiacea; Stolidobranchia; Styelidae. The record is from RefSeq and is a predicted model, not a curated record.
AUUAACUAUAAUCUUCAUUCUUCAAGUUAGAUUUAUAACAUUUGGAAUCCUCCAUUUAUAUUUCUUAUAUGAGCAUCAAAUAUGAAGCUUGCUUGGUUUCUAGUUCUCGGCCUUGUGUUCAUGGUGGUUUUAACGAAAAGAUCGUCGAUGGCGUUUGCACGAGGAAGUUUUCGUCCAGGGCGCGUAGGUCAAACGACACACAGACGUGGAGGAAAUUUAUGGGGAAUAAAGGACAAUUUCCCAACGAACUCAUCGAAACAGAUGACGAAGUACCAAUUCCCGAAGAAUGACAAGUUCUCGUGAUGAUCCGAAUUGUAGCCUACCCCUCGAUAACAAUUACUUGCUUCGAUUUUUUCAAACUAUAUAUAUGCUUCAUUGUAUUUUUACAAUCCAUACGAAAUUAAACUCAUUACCUUAUAUACUUGCAAUUUCUGAGAUAAAAACGGUCCAAGUACAUAAGAUAUAGCUGAGA